UACGUAGGCGGCAAGCGUUGUCCGGAAUCAUUGGGCGUAAAGGGGGCGCAGGCGGGAACAUAAGUCUUUCCUGAAAGUUCGGGGCUCAGCCCCGUGAUGGGAAGGAAACUGUGUUUCUUGAGCGCGGGAGAGGGGAGCGGAAUUCCUGGUGUAGCGGUGAAAUGCGUAGAUAUCAGGAAGAACACCAGUGGCGAAGGCGGCUUCCUGGACCGCGGCUGACGCUGAGGCCCGAAAGCCAGGGGAGC
This 245-nucleotide ribosomal RNA is filed under the name uncultured Veillonellaceae bacterium. RNAcentral describes it as "partial 16S ribosomal RNA". It matches the Rfam family "Bacterial small subunit ribosomal RNA", at positions 524 to 769 of the family's 1533-position model. The record is from RNAcentral. Lineage: Bacteria; Bacillati; Bacillota; Negativicutes; Veillonellales; Veillonellaceae.